GCCUCCUUGGCUCAGUUGGCUAGAGCGCCAGUCUCAUACUCUGCGUAUGACCGUCGAUGAACGGGCAAUCUGGAGGUCGCAAGUUCGAGCCUUGCAGGGGGCA
Non-coding RNA from Mucidula mucida, 103 nucleotides. Lineage: Eukaryota; Fungi; Basidiomycota; Agaricomycetes; Agaricales; Physalacriaceae. The record is from the annotation of a GenBank genome assembly.